UGGUUUUGUACAGCCAUACAGGAUAUAUUUAAGAAAUGACAGAAAUUGCACUUUACACAUAUGAAGCCUUGUUCCCCAAAAGGGGGAAAAGGAAACACCUACCAACAUGGAAUUAGAAAGUGCCUGUUGUUGACUGCAUCAUGAAUAUAAUCCAGCUCUGUGGCCAAGGUAAAUUAUUCUCUGUGUGUGUGUUUGUGUAUUAUUUUUUUCCCUUUGUUUUUAAACAGGUAAAAUUUAUAGAAUAUUACACAGGAUAAUAUAUCCCUUUACAAUAUAUACUUUGUUUUAAUUUAUACUCAGCAUACUUAUUAUAAAUUACUUUAAAAAUUCAUUAAAAAUAAUAUAAUAAUCCACAGUCUGAGCCCUUUCCCAUGGUAACUACAAUCACUUGGUACAAUGAGUGUAUUUUAUUAUAUGGAAAUGUUUCUGACCUACUUAAGAGAGGACCAGAAAACCUGCAUGUCAGUUAAAUACAGACUUCUGGAAUCUUUGUUCAAAAUAGACAACAAACAGAUGAAACUGACCCAGGCAAAUUUGGUCAUUUAAGACUAUUUCCUUGAUGAUUCAAAGUGGAGAUGGUAGUGGUAGUGGGAUCCCUCUAGUCAAAAGAAGCCAUGAAAAUGUUUACAAACAAGGAAAACUAGAGGAUUGGCCAAACCCAAACCAACAUUACCCAAAGGAUUUCAUGAAGAGGAUGCUCUCCUUGGCUGGGGAAAUUCUGGAGAGUAUGGGAGAAUAUGGGAGAGCCAAGAGUCUACUGUUACCUGUAACUACCACACCAGGAUGUUGCCCCAUGCCUGUUGGUCCAAAAUACGUCACCUUUGUUGCACAGCAUCAGCCAAAGGUAUGCCGGUUUUAAAUGGUGGUCACAGAAUGCUGGGUAAUGUGAGAGAUUUGGUCUCAUGAUAGGUCUUAAUAUUCAAUUCACUUAAGUAUUACAAUAGUGCUGACAAACGGCACGUCACAAGGCAAUAUUAGGAAUAAACCAACCCAGACAUCAGAUGAUGGAUGGCAAAUUCUUUCUCAGAACAGUGCAUAUGGUAGUUAGACAAACUGCAUUAGGAACUUCAAAAAAAACAUUUUCACAUAUCUCAAGAAAGGGUGUCACAGUUCAGUUAGGUGAGCACACCUUCAUUUCUCACACAUCAUAAAUAAAAACAAGUUUUAUAAUCUCACAAACGCCAAGAAGUUUAGGAUAAGGGCUCAUCACAAGCUGUAUGGUAACAUUCUGUGGUGAAAAAUAAUGGCAUCACUUUCCCCAAACACAUGUACAAGGGAAUCUUGUCAAUCCUGAUGGCCCAUGAUUUCUCCCCUGCUCCUCUUCUCUGUGGGAAAAAGUUUCAUGGGAAAGAGGUUAAAGAGCCACACAUACACAGACAUACACACAUACAUCUAU
RNAcentral lists this long non-coding RNA (1396 nucleotides) under Sarcophilus harrisii (Tasmanian devil). RNAcentral describes it as "lncRNA (ENSSHAG00000028313.1)". The record is from RNAcentral. Lineage: Eukaryota; Metazoa; Chordata; Mammalia; Dasyuromorphia; Dasyuridae.